This 1193-nucleotide long non-coding RNA is filed under the name Citrus x clementina. RNAcentral describes it as "Citrus clementina (C. clementina) long non-coding RNA (CCLE_LNC005594)". The record is from RNAcentral. Lineage: Eukaryota; Viridiplantae; Streptophyta; Magnoliopsida; Sapindales; Rutaceae.
AAAAUUCAAGCCAAACCCAACUGUUGGAUUAAAAAUAUUUGGGUUUGUUUGGGUUGAACCCAAAUUUUUAUGGUUUGGUUUGAAUUGACUUAAAACCCAAUCCAAACCAAUCCAUGACCACCCCUAUAUAUAGGAUAAUAACUAUUACGUUGCUUUUAGUUAAUGUAACCAAGAACUUGUUAUUCCAUAAUUUCGGUUCUAUUAGAAUAUAUGUUGAAAAGUGAGGUUUAAUUGAAGAGUUAGCUAAGGAUUCUUAAGCAAGUAGCCUAACAUCUACUCUUUAACCCUGGCUUCUUUGCUAAGCAUAUAUGACAAUUCUUUUGUGCAAUACUUUUUGAGUGGCCAAAGGAAUCAAUAAUAGCAAAAGAGUAAUGAUAUGGUCACAAACUCUUGUACAAACUUAUUUUGUACAAAUUGAUGUGGCAUGAUAAAAUUGGUUGAAUUAAAUAUCUCUUGGUCCACAUGAUUUAUUUAUAUUAUUUUGUAUUUUCAUUCAACCAAUUAAUUAAUACCACAUCAGUUUGUAUGAGAGUUUGUGACUGUAUAAUUACUCAUAGCAAAAUAUUCAUUACAAUAACCGUGAGGAAAGGUAAAAAGAUGUUCUUACGAAGCAUCUAUAAGAAAUCACGUGCAAUAAAGGGAUAUGGAAGUGGGAAGUAGUAAGCCAUAUCUAUCAAUUUUUAGAACUAGGCUAAUAUGUGAAAAAAUGCAAUCUACUAGGUUUCAUGUCAAGUAGGGUUGGUAAUUGGCACGGAUUGGGAUUUGUCCAUCCUGAUUCAAUUCGAAAUAAUACAUUGGGAGGAAAUAUUAUCUCGAAUCUCAUUCCAAACAAUAAAUUGGGACAAAAAAGUGUCGUGAUCUCGUUUUGAAUUUCAUUUGCAAUUCUUAAAUGUCCUGGAUGAUGUGGGUUUACUGUCAUAUACCACAGAUUUUGUCAUAAAUAAUAUGUCGUAUGCAUGAUUGACAUAUCAAAUUUAUAUGUUUCAUCAAACCAACUUGUCAUUUGCUUCUGAAAGCCCUUAGUAUGUUUACUUUUUGAAUUAAGGAAUAAGAAUAAUUUAUAUUCCUCAUUGAUUGUGUUUACUUGUUAAAAAAAUAUAAAACAAUGAGAAUGAAUUUUGCAAAUGAGAAUGGGAAUAAGAAAUUGAGAAUCUCAUUCUUAUGAGAGAUGGGAAUGAAAAUUGGGACAAGGA